UUUGCUGCGGGUAACCUGGCUAUGACAGGCGGAAGUAAUCGUUUAGAUAUCCGGGUGUCUCGCAUUUGCCGUUGCCACUGGUACAGGAACUCGUCCACUGUUGCUAUGUUGAAAAAAACCUCUAUAGCAGGGUUGUACAAGGCAAUAGCUGUUGCUAGCGUAGGUGUUGUUUUAUCGACCUCCCUACUUUUAUAUGAAACUAGCCCAGUAAUUGUUUAAUUCAUCUUACUUGAACCUCCAUCCGGCAGCAGUCUGAGAAUGUCUGUAGACUUUGUACCAACGAUCGUGGCCGCGGUACUCUGCAGGCUUUUCUUACUCAUGCCAAGUGUACUAAAAGCCCAACAUUGGGUCUCAAAGCUCAUCCAACCACAUCCACAAGGAUACCCGUAAGUAUGUCUGCUUUCCUUUUAGCAUGAGCCACGUGAAAUCGGUUUAUCCUAUAUUUUUGGGCACAAGUUCUGUUAUCUAAAACGAAUUCCUUCCCCAAAUUUACGCACCAACUUCAAUAUCAAUCUAAAUUUCAAUGGACUUUAAAGACUUCAUGAUGCCUAGCCAUAUUGUUUUAAGUCACCAAUACAGCCCUAGACUUAAUACUAAGGUUCUAAAUGCACUUAAGAAAAUAAAACUACCAGUACUUUGUUAUAAUGGGCAGACAAGUCCUAUAAGGUGGUGGUGACACAAGCAAAACACAAAACUUAGAAAUAAUGACCCUUGUGAGUACUCGACUUUUUUUUUUUUAAAGGAACCAAUAUAGGAAGAGGACAAAAAUGGGCAAAUAAGGCUAGUCGAUUCUGCUUAAGUAGCCCAGAUAUGGUAUUUCCGUUGUAAUGAAAACAAAAAACUGGAAUUUUGGGAACAGAGAUGAUGGCUAUGAUUACCUUAGUCACUGCAAAAUCUGAAACCACCAGGUCAGGAUGCAAACGGGGGCAACUGCCAUAAGAUAGUCAAGAUUUAGAAUGAUAAAGUAGUAGGGCAGGGGAAGGGUAGCCAGUGCUAGAUGGCUGAGCUGUCUAUGCUGUGGAAGCAUGUGAUUUUACUGAAGAAUAUAAAGACAACAAAGACAGCUUCCAACUUACUGCCAACUGCCCCUAUCAAGUAGUUGGACUGAAAAUAGUUGAUGUAGAAUAUUCUCAGUGUAGAAUAUCAAAUGUGCUUGAGAAGAUGGGUAUGGGAAUGGAACUGCACACCUGCAGGUUUAGAGGGUUUUGGAGACAAUUCUCUUCCUCCACCUUUGUCCCAGGAGUCAAAACUCUGGUCUGGGUUGACUUCAAGUGAUGAUAGCUGCAGAGCCAUUUCACUGGCCAUUUAAUAUUCAAGCACUUUAGUGUGACUUUUGAAUUUGAGGGGCUUGGGACUUAGGUAUUUAUAGACAAAGUAACUAUAAAGAAUUAAUAUUCAGAACAGCUAGGCUGGAUUUGGCCACCUGGAUUAAGUAAAACCAGAGAUGAAACCAUCCUUGAAGGCACAAGAUACUCCGUGGUGACAGGGAAUCUGAAAUCCUUUCACCACUUCCAACUUACACCUCAAUUUCUGCUGAAGAAUGAUGCACUUUCUGGAUUACAUUUGCCCAUAAACUUUUGUUCUAAACACUGCAGUGAAGAUCUUUUAAAUGGCAGUUUUAUUAGAUGACCCACUAUUCUGGCCACCCCCCCCCCAAAAAAAAACAAUACACACCAUUUUAAAACCUUCAAUAGCUUCCAAAUGUUGAGACAAAAACUAAACAUGGAAGAAAACUGCCCUAUCCAGUUUCCCCAGACAGAUCUUGCUAAUGCUUAAACAAAACAGGAGUCACUGGAAUACAGGUCUCUUGACUCUUUUAUCCAGUUUGCCACUCCUCACUCAUCCUUAUGUCAGCUGAAUUAUCUUUCAAUCAAGUCUUUCCAGAUCAUACCGACUAAGUCAUAUAUUUAUCAUUAACCACACAGUUGAACCAUGCCACUUACUACACACAUCUGGGGUCACUCCAGUGUCUUGAGGGGUAAUUUUUUCACCACUGAAUAGUUAACACUGGCCAUAAUGCCAAGCAAGAGAUACCCAAAUGUGCUAAUAAAUUUCAGGUUGUCUCGCUAAAGAGAUAUAGUAUUUAGAGGAAAUUAAGACUUACAAAUAAAUAUACCAAAACCUGACUUUAAGUUUUAAGUACAUCAGGGAUACUGCUAUUUUCAAUGCCAACGGUGAAGGAUCAAGGCUAUGCAGGAAACUGCUCAAGCUUCACAACAGACUAUUAAUGUACAGUGCUAACAUACAGUAGUCUAGCUUUGUUCUUAAAAAGACCAGACCCAGAAUUGUUUCUUCUCUCUUCAAGGAGCACUUAAGGAGUUUUCCUUAGGGUGUAUGCAACUCACAGGCUUUGCUAUAAACAAUCACAUUUUCAUAUAAUUUAAUCUAAUGAAAUAUACAACAGUUUCUAAGUUUUUCCAGAAUGUAUAUAAAUUCAAAAUAGUAAAGGCAAAGCUUAAUUUACUUUUUCUGUUAACUUAUACUCGAUAAAACUAAAGUACUUAAUAGCUCAAGUCGGAUGGAUGCAGGUUGAGAGCUUAAGGUUGAAAUGAAGGGUAUGAUCAGCCUAAGCUACAAUACCCUAUUUCCUUAAGUAGAUGAAAAUUUAACAAAACAAAUUGCCUGGCACAUAUAUGAAGCUGCUUAACUACAUUCUGCACUUAGAAACUGGUUGUCUGCCAAGCACCUUAGUGAAUGAACCUGAGAAUAAGCAUGCAUCUCCAUGUCUCCUUGAAGUCUCUAUACAAUAGCAUAUAUAUGAAUACAUAUAGAGACAAAAGAACUAUAGAAGUUAAUUUACUACAAUCAUUGGAAGGUCAUGUUUUUAAUAUCAAGAUACAAUGAUCAAAAGAGGAGAAAGGAUGAAAAAAAAUCAUCUUUUUAGGAAUAUUAAGGCCCUGGUAAUAAAAUGGCCCUAAGCAAAAAGUCAUCAAUGGCAUGCUACCUGGGGGAGGGGGGGGCAUUAUACACGUGGUAUCUAAACAUACUGUGAAUUGUGCAUGUACAAAAGAUUUUAUAGUCUUACUACACUAAGAGACAUGUAGGACCAUCAGUUCCCUGUACUCUGGUAAAAUACACACUUGACCAAACAAAAGGUCUUCUGCCUCUAGACAAGCAUUUGCAUAUUAUAGAAGAUACUGAGUAACAAAGACUCAGAUCUUAAGGAAAAGACUUUAGCAGUUCUCUGUCCAGUGAGGUUGCUUUUAAAACAGUCUUGAAUGCAGACGUUAAAACUCACUAGAACUGCAAUGGUAGAAUGACAGCUAAUGAUAUGUUGCUGUUGAAAGGAAUAAGCAACUUAAAAAAUAAACAAGUCAAACUACAAACAACUUUUACACCUUCUGCCCUACACUUUGGGUAGAAGCCCGAAACGUGAGACAUUCCCUGAAUUCACUUCAGAACUCAAAUUCAAUACUAAACUUAUUUUCUUCAAUUUUGCUUUCUUACUAUCAUAAAAUUAUAUUCUACACACGUAACACACCAUCUAGGGAUUAUCCAAUAAACCACAAACAUUUUAUCCAUCCCAAUAAAAUACAAUUAACAUAUGGUUGUGGUACAUCCCAGGUAGUUGUCUUUUAAAGCACACAAGUGUAGGUGCUGGCAAAAUAGUCUUGGCAAAAGUAAACAGAUAACCCUUCCAAUAUGAUGUACCAUAACCACACAUGAGAAAAGUCAAGAACUUAUUUUAUUUAUUUUAAAAUAAACAUUGAAGCUUCCCCAUUAUCCACCACCCUACAAAACUUUUGAAUGUGGAAUGUUCAACAGCCUCAGCAGUUUUAGUAGGCUACAAAACCAGCAAAAACUCCAGUUGUCUAAUGAUGAAUAUCUGAGAAUUGUUUUGAGUAGCUGAUACCGGCUUGG
This 3861-nucleotide long non-coding RNA is filed under the name Mus musculus (house mouse). RNAcentral's name for it is "long non-coding RNA chr2:103761345-103765206". Lineage: Eukaryota; Metazoa; Chordata; Mammalia; Rodentia; Muridae. The record is from RNAcentral.